This 368-nucleotide ribosomal RNA is filed under the name uncultured soil bacterium. Its description in RNAcentral is "bacterial SSU rRNA". It matches the Rfam family "Bacterial small subunit ribosomal RNA", at positions 26 to 391 of the family's 1533-position model. The record is from RNAcentral.
AGAUUGAACGCUGGCGGCAUGCCUUACACAUGCAAGUCGAACGGUAGAGUAGCAAUACUCGAGAGUGGCGAACGGGUGAGUAAUAUAUCGGAACGUGCCCAGUCGUGGGGGAUAACGUAGAGAAAUUUACGCUAAUACCGCAUACGAUCUACGGAUGAAAGCGGGGGACUCGCAAGAGCCUCGCGCGAUUGGAGCGGCUGAUAUCAGAUUAGGUUGUUGGUGAGGUAAAAGCUCACCAAGCCGACGAUCUGUAGCUGGUUUGAGAGAACGACCAGCCACACGUGGACUGACGACACGGCCAGACCUCGUACGGGAGGCAGCGAGGUAGGGUAUUUUGGACUAAGUGGGACGAAACGCCUAGAUCCGAG